RNAcentral lists this unclassified non-coding RNA (1371 nucleotides) under Apis dorsata (giant honeybee). RNAcentral describes it as "ubiquitin recognition factor in ER-associated degradation protein 1, transcript variant X3". The record is from RNAcentral. Lineage: Eukaryota; Metazoa; Arthropoda; Insecta; Hymenoptera; Apidae.
AUGACUUUUCAUUUUCAGUUUGGAUUUAACAUGUUUCCGGAGAUUGUAAGACCUUUCAACAAUCAUUAUAGAUGUUUUUCUGUAUCAAUGUUACCGGGUACAUAUCGACGAGAUGUAGAACGUGGAGGAAAAAUAAUCAUGCCACCUUCAGCUUUAGAACACCUUACAAGAUUAAACAUUAGAUUUCCUAUGCUAUUUAAAUUAAGUAACGAAAAAACAAAUAGAAUUACUCAUUGUGGUGUUUUAGAAUUUGUUGCAGAUGAAGGAAGAGUUUAUUUACCUUGUUGGAUGAUGUAUAAUCUUUUAUUACAAGAAGGAGAUCUAAUAAAUGUUGAAAGUGUAAAUUUACCUGUUGCAACAUUUUCUCGUUUUCAACCUCAAUCUGAAGAUUUUUUAGAUAUUACAAAUCCUAAAGCUGUUUUAGAAAAUGGAUUAAGAAAUUUUGCUUGUCUCACAACAGGUGAUAUUAUUGCCAUAAAAUAUAAUCAAAGAAUAUAUGAAAUGUGUGUUUUGGAAACAAGACCUGGUCCAGCAGUUACUAUCAUAGAAUGUGAUAUGAAUGUUGAAUUUGCUCCUCCACUGGGAUAUGUAGAAAAAGAAACUAAGAAGGAUGAAAAUGUAGUAGAUCCUGCAGAUUUAAUGCCAGCCCCAUCUGGUUUUGUACCAUUCAAAGGAGAGGGUAAUAGAUUGGAUGGCAAAAAACGUAGAGAUUUUGCAAAACCAGAAGUAACUACAAAUAAACCAGCUUAUGUUAGAGGAAUACCAGAUUAUGAUUACAAAAUAGGAACACUUACAUUCUUGCGUAUUAUUAAGCCUGUAAAUAAUAAAGAGGCAAAAGAUCAAGAUGAAUUUAAAGCAUUCACUGGUGAAGGUUUUUCUCUUAGAAAGUCAAAAUAAUUAAAUAAUUAGUGAUUUAUUUAUUUUCAUACAAUUACAUGUAUUUGUAAAAGCUUGCAAUAAGAAAUUUAAUCUAUCAAUGGACCCCAGAAAUAUUUACUGGGUUUUGUAGGAUCUUCUGUUAAGAAAAAUUCACGACCCAAUAUUAUAAAUUCUUUGGAACUAAUUUUACCAUCAUCAUUAAUAUCAAUAUGAUUGAAGGAGAUAACUGCAUCCUAUAAUAAAUAUUUAUUUUCAUUAUUUUUUUUUAUAUUAAUUAUUAUAGAAAAAUAUAUAAUCUUACUUACAUCAUGUGUAAGUCCUAAACAUUGAAAAAAUAACUUAUAUUCUUGUAUAGAAAUUUCACCAUUAUGGUCUUUAUCUACUGCCUGCAAUUUUUUUUAGAUAAUAUAUUUAAAAUAUUUUUUAACAUUAUUGUUUUAUAUAAAAAUAUAUUUUUGAAAACAUACUUUGAAUAAAAAUGGCAAAAAAUGA